GACGAACGCUGGCGGCGUGCUUAACACAUGCAAGUCGAGCGGUAAGGCCCUUUCGGGGGUACACGAGCGGCGAACGGGUGAGUAACACGUGGGUGACCUGCCCUCAGCUCUGGGAUAAGCCUGGGAAACUGGGUCUAAUACUGGAUAUGACUCCACGGUGCAUGUCGUGGGGUGGAAAGCCUUGUGCGGCUGAGGAUGGGCCCGCGGCCUAUCAGCUUGUUGGUGGGGUGAUGGCCUACCAAGGCGACGACGGGUAGCCGGCCUGAGAGGGCGACCGGCCACACUGGGACUGAGACACGGCCCAGGACUCCUACGGGAGGCAGCAGUGGGGAAUCUUGCGCAAUGGGCGAAAGCCUGACGCAGCGACGCCGCGUGAGGGAUGAC
Molecule: ribosomal RNA, 384 nt
Filed under: uncultured bacterium
Lineage: Bacteria
Description: bacterial SSU rRNA
Rfam family: Bacterial small subunit ribosomal RNA
Source: RNAcentral